GCGGAAGUGGCGAAAUUGGUAGACGCCGCAAGGUGUGGGAGUUCAAGUCUCCCCUUCCGCACCA
Molecule: transfer RNA, 64 nt
Filed under: Vibrio eleionomae
Lineage: Bacteria; Pseudomonadati; Pseudomonadota; Gammaproteobacteria; Vibrionales; Vibrionaceae
Description: tRNA-OTHER
Rfam family: tRNA
About the family: Transfer RNA (tRNA) molecules are approximately 80 nucleotides in length. Their secondary structure includes four short double-helical elements and three loops (D, anti-codon, and T loops).
Source: RNAcentral